AAUGAACGUUGGCGGCGUGGAUUAGGCAUGCAAGUCGAGCGUGUACCCGCAAGGGGAAAGCGGCAAACGGGGUAGGAACGCGUAGGUCACGUACCCCUCGGCCGGGGAUAGCCACGGGAAACUGUGGGUAAUACCCGAUGACGCCGAGAGGCCAAAGGUGUGAUUCCGCCGGGGGAGCGGCCUGCGUAGUAUUAGCUAGUUGGUGAGGUAACGGCUCACCAAGGCGAAGAUGCUUAGGGGGUGUGAGAGCAUGACCCCCACCACUGGGACUGAGAUACUGCCCAGACACCUACGGGUGGCUGCAGUCGAGAAUCUUCGGCAAUGGGGGCAACCCUGACCGAGCGACGCCGCGUGUGGGAUGAAGGCCCUUGGGUUGUAAACCACUGUCAGAGGGGAUGAAACGAUCAUGGGUUCUCCCAUGGUCCUGACAUAGCCUCAGAGGAAGCACGGGCUAAGUUCGUGCCAGCAGCCGCGGUAAUACGAACUGUGCAAACGUUAUUCGGAA
RNAcentral lists this ribosomal RNA (505 nucleotides) under uncultured bacterium. RNAcentral's name for it is "bacterial SSU rRNA". It matches the Rfam family "Bacterial small subunit ribosomal RNA", at positions 28 to 550 of the family's 1533-position model. The record is from RNAcentral.